UACAGAGGGUGCAAGCGUUAAUCGGAAUUACUGGGCGUAAAGCGUGCGCAGACGGUUGCGUAAGUCAGAUGUGAAAGCCCCGGGCUCAACCUGGGAAUUGCAUUUGAGACUGCGUAGCUAGGGUGCGGAAGAGGGAAGCGGAAUUUCCGGUGUAGCGGUGAGAUGCGUAGAUAUCGGAAGGAACACCAGUGGCGAAAGCGGCUUCCUGGUCCAGCACCGACGUUCAGGCACGAAAGCGUGGGGAGCAAACAGG
RNAcentral lists this ribosomal RNA (253 nucleotides) under uncultured bacterium. RNAcentral's name for it is "partial 16S ribosomal RNA". It matches the Rfam family "Bacterial small subunit ribosomal RNA", at positions 524 to 776 of the family's 1533-position model. The record is from RNAcentral.